RNAcentral lists this long non-coding RNA (4282 nucleotides) under Nicotiana tabacum (common tobacco). Its description in RNAcentral is "long non-coding RNA (NTAB_LNC009316)". Lineage: Eukaryota; Viridiplantae; Streptophyta; Magnoliopsida; Solanales; Solanaceae. The record is from RNAcentral.
UCACCCUUCGUGCUUUAUCACUCUUCCUCACCAUAUGAAUAAUAUAAAUGUGCACGGCAUCACCCUUCGUGCUUUAUCUCUCUUUCCUCAACAUAUGCAUCAAUAUAAAUGUAAAUAUGCACAACAUCACCCUUCGUGCUUUAUCACUCUUCCUCACCAUAUGAAUAAUAUAAAUGUAAAUGUGCACGGCAUCACCCUUCGUGCUUUAUCACUCUUCCUCACCAUAUGAAUAAUAUAAAUGUACACGACAUCACCCUUCGUGUUUUAUCACUCUUUCCUCACCCAAACAGUAGAAACAACAACAUCCCCGUAAGAGAAUCAACAAUAGAAAUAAUAACACCCCGGCAAGGGAAUCAACAAUAGAAACAAUCUUGUUUUAAUAGUUAGCUUCGCAAUAUAGAUCUCAACUUGACUCAAUACUCAACAAUGGUCAAUUACCCAGAGAAUAUCAUCAGUCUUAUUCAACAUGAAUAAUUCAUCAAUUUAAGCAUAAAUAGUACAUAAUAAGGAUCAUGGAAAAGCCAAGAAACACAAUAACCUUAACAAAAAUAACAAGACAUAAUGAGCACGUAAUAACUAUAUCGAUAAUCACAACAAUUGGACAUGUAACAUAUUUGCACGAAGUCAUAGAGGAAUUCACAAUCAAGAAGUAUCAAAACAAUAAGGAAGACAAUCACUUCAAUUAAGGCAAAUAAGGGUCAAGUAACAAGUAAGAGUUGGAGGAGAGCUAACAACAUCGUAUGGAGCAUAAAGAGGUAAAACAGUCAAUUAGGAAACCCAAUCAUAUAGAAAACUUCCCACUUAAUGCACAUAAGGACCUAAGAACCCUAAAGGCAAAUUUCCCACAAGUAAGUCUGAACACAUACUCGUCACCUCGCGUGCACGGACAACAAAUAGCAUAGAAGACUCAACUCCUAAGGGGAAGUCCUCCCCCCACAAGGUUAGGCAAGAUACUUACCUCAAUCCGGCCAAUUCAAUACUCAAUUUAGCUUUUUCCUUUACCAAUUCAUCAACGCUCGGCUCAAUCUAGCGAAAAACGACUUGAAUAUAUCAAACAAUUUUAAUUGACAAAACUAUGAUUCUUAUACAAUUUGCAAAAAGUCAACAAAAGUCAACUCUCCGGGCCCGCACCUCGGAACCCGACAAAAUUUACAAAAACCGAACACCCAUUCCGCUACGAGUUCACCCAUACAAAAAUUGUCUAAUUCCGAUACAAAUUGGUCAUUCAAAUCAUCAUUUUACAUUUUUGAAAGAUUUCACAAUUUUCCCCAAAUUUUCCUUUAGAUUCUCAUGAAUUUGAUGUUAAAUCUAAGAUAUAAUCAUAAAAUAUAGUUGAAAAUUAAUUAUAGGUACUUACCCAAUAAUUUGGAGAAGUUUGGGUCUUUGGAAAAUCACUUAUGGAGGUUUAGGGUUUGAGAAAAUUGAAAAAUGGGUGAAAAUCCCUUAAAAAAUUUCACUUAACAAGCCUCAAAUGUCGCAUUUGCGACCCAGGGUUCGCAAUUUGCGAACAAGGCAGGGCUGGCAGAAGUCGCAUUUACGAUAAAAAGUUUGCAUUUGCGAACUGGGCAUCGCAAUUGCGAUGAAAAAGUUCGCAUUUGCGACUACACCAGAAACCAACAAUUAUUCCCGACAUGAAAAUGAGCAUAACUUCCUCAUACAAUGUCUAAAUUCGAUGAUUCUUUUUCCUAUGGCUCCAAAAUUUUGAUACGGAUCUAAUGGUUCAAUAAAAAUUGAAUUUGGAUCUCAUUUUCUCAAUAUGAUAUCAUUUUUGCUUGAAGAAACGAUGAUGAAGCAUCCAAAAGCAAGCGCAACAUAGCCUAAACCUAUCCGAAACUCACACAAGCCCUCGGGACUCCAAACCAAACAUGCACGCAGCUCUAAAAAUGUUAUACGGACUUUCUCAUGUGAUCAAAUUAUCNNNNNNNNNNNNNNNNNNNNNNNNNNNNNNNNNNNNNNNNNNNNNNNNNNNNNNNNNNNNNNNNNNNNNNNNNNNNNNNNNNNNNNNNNNNNNNNNNNNNNNNNNNNNNNNNNGUCCAAAUCACGUCAAAUAAAUUCUGAUUCUCAACAAAUUUCACAGAUAGGACUUAAAUAUCAUAACAAACUUGUACCAGGCUCCAAAACCAAAAUAUGGGCCCGAUUCCAACGAGUUCAAACAUUAAUUCAUUUCUUUAUUUCAUUUAAAAACCAGCACAAUAAUUUUCUUCAAAAUUUAUUUUCUGAGGCUAGGGACCUCGGAAUUCAAUUUUGGCAUACGUCCAAGUCCCAUAUUUUACCGCGGACCUCCUGGGAUCGUCGGAACAUAGAUCCGGGUUCGUUUACUAAAAAUAUUGAACAAAGUCAAUUAAAAACCAAAUUUUAACUCUAGAAAUUACUAUAUUUUUCAUAUUUUCACAUAAAAGCUUUCUGGUUUCACUCCCGAACUGCGCAUGCAAGUCGAUACACAUAAUAUGAAGCUACUCGUGAUCUCAAACUGCCGAACCGGACGCAAUUACUCAAAACGAUCAGUUGGGUCGUUACAAAGUAUAAGGAAGGGUAUAUUUAAAUUUUUUCUUAUAGUACAAGGAUAUAUUUAACCCUUUGCCAUAAAGUUUUUCAACACAUCAACAUAAUUCUCCCAGCAUAUAUAACUGCACUAUAUAUGUGCUCUUUAACCUCCUCUUGGAACCUUUAUGAUGCUCUACUCUAAGGUAUGUUCCCAAAAUAUUUUACUACUUCUUCCGGUGCCAAAUAUUAGUUGUUUUGGCUAAUAAGAUUUAUUUUGAAAUAUAUGAUUUUUUUUUAAAAUCAAGAAGUCAAUUGUCACUUCUUUUCCAAGUCUAUCCUCAGUGCUCCAAUUAGAGAAUUGUAAAUUAAGUGGAUCUUUAUACUCUGUUUGGAUCAUUGUUACCCAUCAUUUUAUAAUUGUUAUGAAUAUGACGUUUGGAUAGAUUGUAGUAUUUGUUGUUGUUAAAUAAUAUUUUAUUGUUUGGUUUGACUAUAUCGUACUGUAUUGUAACUGAUAAGUUUAUUAAAAUACCCUCUAUUGUUUUAAAUAUUAAGCUUAUUAAGAAUUACGCAUAAAAAUAAUUUAAGAAAGCCCAUUUCGACUAAUUUAUCACCAAUUAUGUCUUAUAAAUAGAUUAAGCAAUAAAAUUCAUACAAAUUUAAGUGACGUUUAAUUCGACAAACAGAGCCACCAAUAUAAUAGAAUAUAUAUAUAUAUAUAUAUAUAUAUAUUUCAUUCAAUCAUUUCCUCUUGAAUGAUACAUGUAAACCAAAAGCCAAGAAUAAUAUGUCUACUAAGCCAUGAACCAAAAGAAAAAAUUUGUAAUGCUUGGAAAUGCACUGUAAGUAAUGAGUAUGCCUUCAAAAAAGUCAUUGUGUGUCACAUAUGUUCAAUAUUACCUAGGCCUGCAGAAUACAGUUCUCUACCAUGACUUUGUCAUGAGGUAUGUAAUAAAAAUAAGUCUGACUGAAGGCAAAAGGACCUCAGAAGUAUGAGCUCAGUUCGAAUAUUGUAUUUAGAUGGUCUCCAAACUUCAAAGAGUAAGAUGACUAUAGAAAAACUGCAAAUACUUUUCACGGCAAGAGUAUCGUUUUCUCCAUUAUCGUUAAUUUUGGACUAUAGGCAUGGGUUUCUCUGUUUCUUAUACCAACAAUGUCAUUUUAGGACUCUAACCAGCAGAAAUUAAAAUUAACCCCAGAAAACCAAAUCAAAUACUAGCAACUUUAGGGUUUAAAUACUACCCCCUUCCUUGAAAGAAUGAAAAAGAAAAGGAAAAAAAUACACACGCAUACAUAAAACUGAUAGAUCUGAAUGUACAAAACUAUACAUGCGCAACAACAGUAUAUUCAAUUCGAAAUUCUAACUACAAACACAUAAAUUCAAAACCCUAGCUACAAAAGCAUACGCACAUAAAUCAUCAUCAUUCAAGAAAUUCGAAAAAUACCAGAAAAAUAUUGAAAAUCAAGAAACUGAGGUCUAGAUCUGGAUUUGCUUACCUUUGAUCAUACAACCAUGAAGCAAGUUGAAGAGAUCCAGACACUGAGUUCAGAGCUCCUUCAGAGAUUCGACACAGUUCUUCUAACCUUUGAAGAUCAAAUUUCAAAGCUUUGAUUCUCGGCUCCUCUAAGAGAGGUUUGUUGCCCAUAGAGAGAUUUCAGAGCUUCGAUGUGUUUGAGAGUUCUAUAAGCUUCGAUGUGUUCUGUUUUUGACAAAAAACAAAUAAAAGUAGAAUAUAAAAAGACUUAUAAAGGACCUGGGCAAAUAGAAGAGGGAAAGUGGAGAGGGAAUUGAAAACCG